This is a long non-coding RNA of Ailuropoda melanoleuca (giant panda), 686 nucleotides long. RefSeq lists it as uncharacterized. The transcript is spliced from 3 exons. The record is from RefSeq and is a predicted model, not a curated record. Lineage: Eukaryota; Metazoa; Chordata; Mammalia; Carnivora; Ursidae.
CGCAGCUCAACCCUUGGAAGAUGGGGACAGUGGAGGUUCCAGAAUUUCUAUGUGGGUUUAGGGGCCGCCAUCUAGUGGGAAGGGGCCUAAAGUGCUUGUCCUCUGGCUGGUUCGCAGAGCAUUGGACUCUGGAUUGUCUACGCCAAAGGGAAUGCUCAGGCCCGGAGAAAGACUUGAGGGCUUUCUUCAGAAACCUAUUUACCCACCAAAGUUCUCCUGUAUAAUUGCCUGGGUAGGGCUGUCAUGAGGAUUAAGUGAACAGCGCAUGAAAAGCCCUCAGCCUCGGAGCCUGGCCCUGCAAGCACACUAUAUUAGUUCCAAUCAUUUCCACAGCUCUGAUACAAUUUUCCAAUUUCAGAAGCCGCCCACUGAUCACAGCCUGCAAAAGGGAGCGAUGAAUGUGAAUCGGGGAGGAGAGAUGCGGCCAAAGCGCUAGCCUGAUGCUCCGCGCAUCCCUGGGAGUAAAGCAAGAGAACACGGACUACAUCUCCAGGGCUGUCGGCCUUUUCUCCAUUCAUCCAUUCAACUCACUCUUCCACUCGGCAGACCUAUCUUAAGGAUUUAGCAGGUUCCAAUCUCAGCACAGGGCUGGGGCCACUGUGUGGAAAGGAACAGAUGGGGUCCCUGCCCUCAUGGAGAUAACGUUCCUGCGGGGAAGACAGACAGUAAAGCAGUCAACACCAGAG